RNAcentral lists this ribosomal RNA (253 nucleotides) under uncultured bacterium. RNAcentral describes it as "partial 16S ribosomal RNA". It matches the Rfam family "Bacterial small subunit ribosomal RNA", at positions 524 to 776 of the family's 1533-position model. The record is from RNAcentral.
UACGGGGGGGGCAAGCGUUGUUCGGAAUUACUGGGCGUAAAGGGUUUGUAGGUGGCCGGCUAAGUCAGACGUGAAAUCCCUCAGCUUAACUGGGGAACUGCGUCUGAAACUGAUCGGCUCGAGUGCAGGAGAGGAACGCGGAAUUCCAGGUGUAGCGGUGAAAUGCGUAGAUAUCUGGAGGAACACCGGUGGCGAAGGCGGCAUCCUGGACCAAUUCUGACGCUGAGGAGCGAAAGCCAGGGGAGCAAACGGG